AUUGAACGCUGGCGGCAGGCCUAACACAUGCAAGUCGAGCGGAUGAAGGGAGCUUGCUCCUGGAUUCAGCGGCGGACGGGUGAGUAAUGCCUAGGAAUCUGCCUGGUAGUGGGGGAUAACGUCCGGAAACGGGCGCUAAUACCGCAUACGUCCUGAGGGAGAAAGUGGGGGAUCUUCGGACCUCACGCUAUCAGAUGAGCCUAGGUCGGAUUAGCUAGUUGGUGGGGUAAAGGCCUACCAAGGCGACGAUCCGUAACUGGUCUGAGAGGAUGAUCAGUCACACUGGAACUGAGACGCGGUCCAGACUCCUACGGGAGGCAGCAGUGGGGAAUAUUGGACAAUGGGCGAAAGCCUGAUCCAGCCAUGCCGCGUGUGUGAAGAAGGUCUUCGGAUUGUAAAGCACUUUAAGUUGGGAGGGAGGGCAGUAAGUUAAUACCUUGCUGUUUUGACGUUACCAACAGAAUAAGCACCGGCUAACUUCGUG
This 484-nucleotide ribosomal RNA is filed under the name uncultured bacterium. RNAcentral describes it as "partial 16S ribosomal RNA". It matches the Rfam family "Bacterial small subunit ribosomal RNA", at positions 30 to 507 of the family's 1533-position model. The record is from RNAcentral.